GAUGCUUGCAUNAGAUGACGAGUGGCGCACGGGUGAGUAACGCGUAUACAAUCUACCUUUUACAGGGGGAUAGCCUUUAGAAAUGAAGAUUAAUAUCCCAUAGUAAGUAGUUUUGGCAUCAAGACAACUUUAAAGUUUCGGCGGUAAAAGAUGAGUAUGCGUUCUAUUAGUUAGUUGGUAAGGUAACGGCUUACCAAGACCACGAUAGAUAGGGGCCCUGAGAGGGGGAUCCCCCACACUGGUACUGAGACACGGACCAGACUCCUACGGGAGGCAGCAGUGAGGAAUAUUGGACAAUGGGCGCGAGCCUGAUCCAGCCAUGCCGCGUGCAGGAAGACUGCCCUAUGGGUUGUAAACUGCUUUUAUACAGGAAGAAACCUUUUCACGUGUGAAAAGCUGACGGUACUGUAAGAAUAAGGAUCGGCUAACUCCGUGCCAGCAGCCGCGGUAAUACGGAGGAUCCAAGCGUUAUCCGGAAUCAUUGGGUUUAAAGGGUCCGUAGGUGGAUAAUUAAGUCAGGGGUGAAAGUUUGCAGCUCAACUGUAAAAUUGCCUUUGAUACUGGUUAUCUUGAAUUAUUGUGAAGUGGUUAGAAUAUGUAGUGUAGCGGUGAAAUGCAUAGAUAUUACAUAGAAUACCAAUUGCGAAGGCAGAUCACUAACAAUAUAUUGACACUGAUGGACGAAAGCGUGGGGAGCGAACAGGAUUAGAUACCCUGGUAGUCCACGCCGUAAACGAUGGAUACUAGCUGUUCGGUUUUCGGA
Molecule: ribosomal RNA, 763 nt
Filed under: Winogradskyella sp.
Lineage: Bacteria; Pseudomonadati; Bacteroidota; Flavobacteriia; Flavobacteriales; Flavobacteriaceae
Description: bacterial SSU rRNA
Rfam family: Bacterial small subunit ribosomal RNA
Source: RNAcentral